CGUCAGCCUGAGAAAAAGCACACAGGGAAAAAACAGUCAUGUCUGCAGCUUUCUCUAACUGGAGAAGGAAAAGAACUGCAAUCUUGCAAGCAAAGUCUGCUGCAGGAUCCAUUAGAAAACUGCUGCAAAUGAGGCUGUCAUCACCUGGACACUUUAACCUGGAAGCAAUCCAGGCUGCUGCUGAAAGUUCAGAAGAAUACUGAAGCUGAGCAAUGACGAAUUCCAAAUCUUCUCUAGUACUGGCAGCAAUUCCCUUCUUCAGCGGGAAUGGCAGAUGCUAAGUCAUUUCAGAAAAGGGAAGGAUACAAGGU
Melospiza melodia melodia is the source of this 311-nucleotide long non-coding RNA. RefSeq lists it as uncharacterized. The record is from RefSeq and is a predicted model, not a curated record. NCBI's taxonomy places the organism in Eukaryota, Metazoa, Chordata, Aves, Passeriformes, Passerellidae. The transcript is spliced from 3 exons.